This is a non-coding RNA of Pelobates cultripes (western spadefoot toad), 336 nucleotides long. Lineage: Eukaryota; Metazoa; Chordata; Amphibia; Anura; Pelobatidae. The record is from the annotation of a GenBank genome assembly.
AAACCACUCAAGGUAGAAAGCAGUAAGAGAUAUGUUAUUCCUGAGUUGAUAGAGAUAAGUGGAACACCUCAUGAUUGUCAGAAGGAAUUAGAAAUUGAAUCUAAAUCUCCUUUUGAGAAACAAGCAAUACAAGGGGCUCCUUGUUUGUAUGUGGAUGGAACGAGAUUUUAUGCUGAUGGAUCACAUCAUACAGGUUAUGCCAUUUAUGAUGAUCAUAAAAAAGAAAUGCAGAGAUAUAAAUUGCCAGGCCAUAUGUCUGCUCAGAGAGCUGAGUUAGAGGCUGUAAGGAAAGCUCUUGAAAUAACAGCAUAUGACCCAGUGAAUAUAAUCAGUGAC